UUAAGCGACUAAGCGUACACGGUGGAUGCCCUGGCAGUCAGAGGCGAUGAAGGACGUGCUAAUCUGCGAUAAGCGCCGGUAAGGUGAUAUGAACCGUUAUAACCGGCGAUUUCCGAAUGGGGAAACCCAGUGUGAUUCGUCACACUAUCAUUAACUGAAUCCAUAGGUUAAUGAGGCGAACCGGGGGAACUGAAACAUCUAAGUACCCCGAGGAAAAGAAAUCAACCGAGAUUCCCCCAGUAGCGGCGAGCGAACGGGGAGGAGCCCAGAGCCUGAAUCAGCAUGUGUGUUAGUGGAAGCGUCUGGAAAGGUGCGCGAUACAGGGUGACAGCCCCGUACACAAAAGCGCAUGUGCUGUGAGCUCGAUGAGUAGGGCGGGACACGUGGUAUCCUGUCUGAAUAUGGGGGGACCAUCCUCCAAGGCUAAAUACUCCUGACUGACCGAUAGUGAACCAGUACCGUGAGGGAAAGGCGAAAAGAACCCCGGCGAGGGGAGUGAAAAAGAACCUGAAACCGUGUACGUACAAGCAGUGGGAGCACCCUUCGGGGUGUGACUGCGUACCUUUUGUAUAAUGGGUCAGCGACUUAUAUUCUGUAGCAAGGUUAACCGUAUAGGGGAGCCGGAGGGAAACCGAGUCUUAACCGGGCGUUAAGUUGCAGGGUAUAGACCCGAAACCCGGUGAUCUAGCCAUGGGCAGGUUGAAGGUUGGGUAACACUAACUGGAGGACCGAACCGACUAAUGUUGAAAAAUUAGCGGAUGACCUGUGGCUGGGGGUGAAAGGCCAAUCAAACCGGGAGAUAGCUGGUUCUCCCCGAAAGCUAUUUAGGUAGCGCCUCGUGAAUUCAUCUCCGGGGGUAGAGCACUGUUUCGGCUAGGGGGCCAUCCCGGCUUACCAACCCGAUGCAAACUGCGAAUACCGGAGAAUGUUAUCACGGGAGACACACGGCGGGUGCUAACGUCCGUCGUGAAGAGGGAAACAACCCAGACCGCCAGCUAAGGUCCCAAAGUCAUGGUUAAGUGGGAAACGAUGUGGGAAGGCCCAGACAGCCAGGAUGUUGGCUUAGAAGCAGCCAUCAUUUAAAGAAAGCGUAAUAGCUCACUGGUCGAGUCGGCCUGCGCGGAAGAUGUAACGGGGCUAAACCAUGCACCGAAGCUGCGGCAGCGAACGUAUCACCCAAGACAACUUUACGGAGUUGACGAUUGACGGAGCGAAGCGACGUCAAAGCGUUCAUUAAAGUCGAGUUGGCUUAGGGAUACGUUCGUUGGGUAGGGGAGCGUUCUGUAAGCCUGUGAAGGUGUGUCGUGAGGCAUGCUGGAGGUAUCAGAAGUGCGAAUGCUGACAUAAGUAACGAUAAAGCGGGUGAAAAGCCCGCUCGCCGGAAGACCAAGGGUUCCUGUCCAACGUUAAUCGGGGCAGGGUGAGUCGACCCCUAAGGCGAGGCCGAAAGGCGUAGUCGAUGGGAAACGGGUUAAUAUUCCCGUACUUGGUGUUACUGCGAAGGGGGGACGGAGAAGGCUAUGUUGGCCGGGCGACGGUUGUCCCGGUUUAAGCGUGUAGGUGUGUGUUCCAGGUAAAUCCGGUUCACUUUAACACUGAGGCGUGACGACGAGGCACUACGGUGCUGAAGCAACAAAUGCCCUGCUUCCAGGAAAAGCCUCUAAGCAUCAGGUAACACGAAAUCGUACCCCAAACCGACACAGGUGGUCAGGUAGAGAAUACCAAGGCGCUUGAGAGAACUCGGGUGAAGGAACUAGGCAAAAUGGUGCCGUAACUUCGGGAGAAGGCACGCUGACACGUAGGUGAAGUGAUUUACUCAUGGAGCUGAAGUCAGUCGAAGAUACCAGCUGGCUGCAACUGUUUAUUAAAAACACAGCACUGUGCAAACACGAAAGUGGACGUAUACGGUGUGACGCCUGCCCGGUGCCGGAAGGUUAAUUGAUGGGGUCAGCGCAAGCGAAGCUCCUGAUCGAAGCCCCGGUAAACGGCGGCCGUAACUAUAACGGUCCUAAGGUAGCGAAAUUCCUUGUCGGGUAAGUUCCGACCUGCACGAAUGGCGUAAUGAUGGCCAGGCUGUCUCCACCCGAGACUCAGUGAAAUUGAACUCGCUGUGAAGAUGCAGUGUACCCGCGGCAAGACGGAAAGACCCCGUGAACCUUUACUAUAGCUUGACACUGAACAUUGAGCCUUGAUGUGUAGGAUAGGUGGGAGGCUUUGAAGUGUGGACGCCAGUCUGCAUGGAGCCGACCUUGAAAUACCACCCUUUAAUGUUUGAUGUUCUAACGUGGACCCGUAAUCCGGGUUGCGGACAGUGUCUGGUGGGUAGUUUGACUGGGGCGGUCUCCUCCUAAAGAGUAACGGAGGAGCACGAAGGUUGGCUAAUCCUGGUCGGACAUCAGGAGGUUAGUGCAAUGGCAUAAGCCAGCUUGACUGCGAGCGUGACGGCGCGAGCAGGUGCGAAAGCAGGUCAUAGUGAUCCGGUGGUUCUGAAUGGAAGGGCCAUCGCUCAACGGAUAAAAGGUACUCCGGGGAUAACAGGCUGAUACCGCCCAAGAGUUCAUAUCGACGGCGGUGUUUGGCACCUCGAUGUCGGCUCAUCACAUCCUGGGGCUGAAGUAGGUCCCAAGGGUAUGGCUGUUCGCCAUUUAAAGUGGUACGCGAGCUGGGUUUAGAACGUCGUGAGACAGUUCGGUCCCUAUCUGCCGUGGGCGCUGGAGAACUGAGGGGGGCUGCUCCUAGUACGAGAGGACCGGAGUGGACGCAUCACUGGUGUUCGGGUUGUCAUGCCAAUGGCACUGCCCGGUAGCUAAAUGCGGAAGAGAUAAGUGCUGAAAGCAUCUAAGCACGAAACUUGCCCCGAGAUGAGUUCUCCCUGAGACUUAGAGUCUCCUGAAGGAACGUUGAAGACGACGACGUUGAUAGGCCGGGUGUGUAAGCGCAGCGAUGCGUUGAGCUAACCGGUACUAAUGAACCGUGAGGCUUAACCUU
Molecule: ribosomal RNA, 2988 nt
Filed under: Salmonella enterica subsp. enterica serovar Typhimurium
Lineage: Bacteria; Pseudomonadati; Pseudomonadota; Gammaproteobacteria; Enterobacterales; Enterobacteriaceae
Description: bacterial LSU rRNA
Rfam family: Bacterial large subunit ribosomal RNA
Source: RNAcentral